This is a long non-coding RNA of Sander lucioperca (pikeperch), 219 nucleotides long. RefSeq lists it as uncharacterized. The transcript is spliced from 3 exons. The record is from RefSeq and is a predicted model, not a curated record. NCBI's taxonomy places the organism in Eukaryota, Metazoa, Chordata, Actinopteri, Perciformes, Percidae.
UUUGCUCUCUAAACAGGGGUCAAUACAGCACCUUAGUGCUUUUUUGUACAGCAUUUUGGUCAGCUUAAACUGUGUUUAAAUAUGCUCUAGAAAUAAACUUUACUUACUUACUUUACAAGAGACCGGGUUUAGAGAGCAAUUCUCAACAAAGUAAACGGAAGUACAUAACCCUUGUGUUGUCCUCUGGGUCACCGGGACCCGGAGGACAACACAAGGGUU